Molecule: ribosomal RNA, 68 nt
Filed under: Ferruginibacter sp.
Lineage: Bacteria; Pseudomonadati; Bacteroidota; Chitinophagia; Chitinophagales; Chitinophagaceae
Description: partial 23S ribosomal RNA
Source: RNAcentral
UAGGCUAUAGGUAUAAGGGUGGUAACAUCGAAGCCGAGUAGUACUAAUUGCCCGUAAGCUUUAUUUUU